Molecule: transfer RNA, 63 nt
Filed under: Antodynerus aff. limbatus GX
Lineage: Eukaryota; Metazoa; Arthropoda; Insecta; Hymenoptera; Vespidae
Also listed under: 2 other names
Description: tRNA-Thr
Source: RNAcentral
AGCUUUAUAGUUUAAAAAAAACAUUAAUCUUGUAAAUUAAAAUUAAAUAAAUUUUUAAAGCUU